This is an RNA transcript of Phlebotomus argentipes, 3399 nucleotides long. It is a transcript of the gene named fibulin-2, with no coding region annotated. The record is from RefSeq and is a predicted model, not a curated record. The transcript is spliced from 7 exons. NCBI's taxonomy places the organism in Eukaryota, Metazoa, Arthropoda, Insecta, Diptera, Psychodidae.
UUGUUGCCGCUUCCUUAGCAACCUGUGCGCCCUUCAAGUUGGGAUCUCCCUGGAGCGAGGUAAUGGAAGCGUGUUGUGCCGAAGCAGCUGUACUAAAUACAUCAACAAUUUGUACCGGCGCCACAUGUCACCAUAUAUGUGAGCUUACCGGCGAUUCUUAUAAUUGUAAAUGUCACAACGGUUUUACACUCACAUCUGAUGGCCACUCCUGUAUCGUGGCCAAUGUAUCACAACCAAUAUGCGAAAAUGGGUACGCUUGGAAUACUACUAUAAACCAGUGCGCAGAUAUCGAUGAAUGUAUUGACAAUGCUCGCUGUAGCCAUACCACGUGCCUGAACACAUUAGGAGGAUUCACAUGCGAACCAGAAGUUACAUCAUGUGAAAUUGGUUUCAAACGCCAUGCGGGUAAGUGCAUCGAUAUUAAUGAAUGUGAAACGGAUCGUGACGCAUGUGACACAAAUCAAAUUUGCACGAACGAGCCUGGCGGUUUCCGGUGCGACUGUCGCACUGGUUUCUCGAUGGAUCCCGUGACGAACGCUUGUAUAGACAUUAAUGAAUGCCAAAUCAACAUCCAUGACUGCCACGAAACACAGCGAUGUGACAACACCAUUGGAUCAUAUUCUUGCAUUCGUCUGCAGAGCUGUGGUACUGGAUAUACAUUGAACGCAGGUACAGGUCUCUGCGAUGACGAUGACGAAUGUAAGCUAGGAACGCAUAACUGUGAAAUCCAAUACGAAUGUAAGAACACAAAAGGAUCUUUCAGGUGCGAACGGCUUCGUGUGGUAAUACCUCAUCUUUUGAAUGGUGCCAUUUGCGAAGUUGGCUAUCGAUCUGAUGAUCACGGUCGAUGUUUAGAUGUGAACGAGUGUGAGGAAGGCACAGCCGCUUGCGCAACAGGUCAAUUUUGUCGAAAUAAGCCAGGAGGUUACGUAUGUUACUGUCCACCGGGUUACGUAUUGGGGAACAAACGAUAUUGUGAGGACAUUGAUGAAUGCUCAACGAACUCCGCUUGUCCAGCGCACACUCUCUGUGUUAACACUCCUGGUAGCUUUCGUUGUGAAUGCGGAAAUGGCUUUUCUAACAAUCUUACAGCUGGUCGUACAUUUUGCAUGGAUGUUGAUGAAUGUGCAAAACCUGGAAUUUGCAAUCAACAUUGUGUGAACUACUGGGGUUCAUAUAGAUGUACAUGUGAGGCUGGAUGGCGCCUAUCUGCAGACAACCACACAUGUGAUGACUUGAAUGAGUGCGAAACUCGCCGUUCGUAUGAGUUAUGUGUCGGUGGCUGCGUCAACACACGUGGCUCUUAUAUAUGUACUUGUCCUACCGGUUAUCGUCUAGGCACUGAUGGUCGCAGUUGCUUGGAUGUGGAUGAAUGUGCGGCCAACGUUUGUCAAAGUAAUGAAAUUUGCACCAAUACACGUGGCAGCCAUCGUUGCUACCCCGUAACUUGUCCUAGUGGAUACGCGAUAGACACCGAGCGACGAAAUAGAUGCCGUCGUAUUUCAUUGCUUUGUGAUCGCGAUGACCUUGACUGUUUUGCACGUCCAAGUUCUUAUUCCUUUAAUUUCAUCACACUUGUAGCCAAUAUGUCUGUUCCACCGUUGGGACGUGCGCUUUUCAAUCUUAAGGGCCCAAAUUGGUAUGAUAACAUAGACUUUUUCUUGCGUGUGGUAAAUGUGGAGGCACCUCCGGAUAUUUUUCUAGCCAGCGACACAUCCUUUACACUUCGAAAAAUGCACAAUGAAGCUUUACUAAGUUUGGUAGAGGCUCUUCAAGGACCACAAGAUGUGGAGUUGGAGCUUAGCAUGACAGUGUACAAGGAUCACUUACCAGCCGGAAGUAAUAUUGCCAAAAUCUUCAUUUUCGUCAGCGAGCAUACAUUCUGAGUGAUGCCAAAUAUAAACAAAAUGUAAAGAUGAUGCUGAAUUUGUGAGACUGACAUCGAGGUAGUUAAGUAGCUUCGGAUUGCACAGACUAGAGACGCUCUGUCGCGACUGAUACUUAGCCCUUUGAAAGAAGGUUCGCGGAAUAUACGGAUACCUAUAAAUCUCAGGGGGAAGAGAAAUCUGCUUGUCGUUAAGUUCCGCAGUGGCAAAGUAAAGAGAAACAUCAUCAAUGCCAGGAGAAAGUCCCACCGAGACAGUAACUUCAGGGGUGUUUUCCUAAGUGACCAGAAUGUUCAUCAAUGAGCGAUUGACGCCGUAGAGACGGGAACUAUUGAAGAUCGCAAAAAAGUGGAAGACGAAGCUCAACUUCAAGUUCCUAUGGAUUGACAAUGGUGCGAUUAGGAUGAGAGGGUGCGAGGGGAAAGAUUCUACGUUAUCAACUCUAUCUCUGACUUCGAUAACUGGCCGGCCAGGCAACAUAAAUGCCUCAAUCCUCUCCAUGGACGUAUUCUGACGCGGACUUUACGAUAAUCCUACAAAAUAUCCGGAGCAUUAGGAGGAAUAUGAAUCUUCUGAUGACUACUAUUGAGUCUGGCAGGGCUGAAGGAGUUAAACGACAAAAUCUUAUUUUUCUCACGAAAACCUGGGUCUCACAAAACAAAUCCCCUCACUAUGCAAUUGCUGACUACACGCUCCGUGCAGUAUGUCAUGAUUUUUACAGGGCGGGUGGGGUUUGUGCUUAUGUGAACGUUAAAUUGAGUAGAGUUUCAUCUCAAAAAAUUGAUUUAAGUACCGCGGACUGUAUCAAGAUAGUCGUCACGCGAGACAGCACAGAUAUAUUUCUCUACUGUUUCUACAGAUUCCGUCUUAAGCCUGUAUCAGAGUUUUUGUACGAACUGGAUUUGAUUUGGGAAGCAUUGACGAUAAAGAAUAAUGUAUAUCUUCUAGGCGAUUGCAACAUUGAUGUUCUGUUCGACUCGAGAGACGCCAUUGAAUACUUCCUACUGCUCUCCUUCCAUGGUUUCGACCUGCUUGACAGCAUGUCCACUAGGUAACGAAGAAUUCUGUACAGAUCAUAUUGUGGCGAAACACCUGUGCGAUGAUUUUUUUUUUGGCGUCCUAGCGGGACAUUUACAUGAAGGAAUAUCGAGUUCAUGUGGACACGAUAAUAAAAUUUUAGAGCAUGGCACUAGCUUACAGAGAAGCUGUUUGACCGACGCUGAUUGCAAUACGAGUGUGAUAGGCGCAAAACAGAACUUAAACUAAAUUGAGUAAAUGGGUGCAUUGGCGAACACAGAGAUGCAUACGGCAGGUAGUCACAAUGGAUCAUUUAUGAAUUGGAGCGAGAAAAAAGGGGUGAAUUGGCGCGACGGUAAUGCAAUAGAUUUAAAGUACUAAUUGUAAGGAGGCAUCAGAAGGCUGCCUACCGUACCAGAAUUAGCCUCACCCAACCAACUCCAAACCAAACGGGCAGACAAAGAAUCAAACAACCUUAACGGAUUAUUUACAAUUA